Small nuclear RNA from Phyllostomus hastatus (greater spear-nosed bat), 104 nucleotides. NCBI's taxonomy places the organism in Eukaryota, Metazoa, Chordata, Mammalia, Chiroptera, Phyllostomidae. The record is from RefSeq and is a predicted model, not a curated record.
GCACUCACUUUGGCAGCACAUAUACUGAAAUUGGAAUGCUACAGAGAUUAGCAUGGCCCUUGCGCAAGGAUGACAUGCAAAUUUGUGAAGCAUUCCAUAUUUUU